RNAcentral lists this ribosomal RNA (426 nucleotides) under uncultured prokaryote. Its description in RNAcentral is "bacterial SSU rRNA". It matches the Rfam family "Bacterial small subunit ribosomal RNA", at positions 355 to 796 of the family's 1533-position model. The record is from RNAcentral.
UGGGGAAUUUUCCGCAAUGGGGGCAACCCUGACGGAGCAAUACCGCGUGAGGGAGGAGGGCCUUUGGGUUGUAAACCUCUUUUCUUAAGGAAGAAGCUCUGACGGUACUUAAGGAAUCAGCAUCGGCUAACUCCGUGCCAGCAGCCGCGGUAAUACGGAGGAUGCAAGCGUUAUCCGGAAUUAUUGGGCGUAAAGCGUCCGCAGGCGGCAUUAUAAGUCUGCUGUCAAAGACCGCAGCUCAACUGCGGAAAGGCAGUGGAAACUGUAAAGCUAGAGUACGUUCGGGGCAGAGGGAAUUCCUGGUGUAGCGGUGAAAUGCGUAGAUAUCAGGAAGAACACCGGUGGCGAAAGCGCUCUGCUAGGCCGUAACUGACACUGAGGGACGAAAGCUAAGGGAGCGAAUGGGAUUAGAUACCCGCGUAGUCC